This 1143-nucleotide long non-coding RNA is filed under the name Felis catus (domestic cat). RNAcentral's name for it is "lncRNA (ENSFCAG00000047045.1)". Lineage: Eukaryota; Metazoa; Chordata; Mammalia; Carnivora; Felidae. The record is from RNAcentral.
GGGCCAGAUUUACCUCAGGGUAGCCGCCGCCGCUUCUCCCUCUCACGGGCUCUGCAGGCCGCCAUUAUCGGGCAGCUCGCGCCUCAGCCGCGGCGGCCUCCAGUCAGAGACCGGCGCGCGCCCCCGUGGUGCGCGCGGACACACCCCCUUACGCCGUGCGGCCCCGCCCCCCUCCGGCUUUCCGUAGCGCGAGCCGGGACGCCGAGCGCCAUCCUUAUUGGGCGCGCGCCCCGCGCUCCGCCGUCCUCCUCCCUCUCCCGAGGCUUUCAGGAGCCGGGAGUCGCCGAAGGUGUGCGCGCCCCGGAACGCACCACUAGUGCCCCUCCCCGCAGGGGUGGCCGGGUCCGGGAACGCGGAGGCCGCUGCACGCCGGGACUCGGUAUCCGUAAAGCCGCAGCGGGCGCGCACGGCCCGCGGCCCCUGGGAUGGUCUGCGGCAGCAGGUCCGGGCCUGGGGGUGCGCGCGCCCGGCGCGGCCUCCCCGCUCCCUCCCCGCCCCCCUUCCCACCUACCGAGCUGCGGGCAGGUGUGCGGGGGUCGCUGGGGCGGAACGCCUGGUGCAUCUUCUUCGGCUCGGGCCUGGGGUGCCUGCGGGACGCGGAGCUCUUCGGCGGGCCCGCGGGGAGGCGCGGCCCGAGCUGGGAGGCCUGGCGUCCGCCCCGCCGGGAGGGAGGCUGCACCUUUUGUCAGAGUCACUGAGCCAUGUUUGCGGACGGUGCAGUUGCCCAGGCGGCGGCGGCGCGGGACUGGGUGCGAUCAUCUGGGAGGACGCCGUCCCCUGCCCCGCCGGCGCGGUGGUAUCUCCCUUAAAGAACCCGGCGCCUCAUUGUUCCCGGGCCCCGGCCGCCGGGAGUCGGGGGCGCCCUGCCCGGCGCCGAGAGGAAGGGGAGGCGGUGCCGGCCCCUGGCGCCCUGCCCGGCGGCUGCCCCCGCGUGGAGUCCGGAUCCAACCCGCGAGCGGCGACGGGCGGCGGUCCGAGGCAGCCGGGGCCGGGAUGGACCGCGAAGACGGCUGUACCCUCGCGGCCAGACUGACAGCGGUCCGUCAGAUCCCGGCCCUCAGUCGCCUGACAGCCAGCCCGGGACUGUCAGCGACUCAGAGGCUCGGACCAAUCCAUUAUUCAGUUAGUUACACAGAUCAGUAA